This 473-nucleotide ribosomal RNA is filed under the name Wagneriana silvae. RNAcentral describes it as "partial large subunit ribosomal RNA". It matches the Rfam family "Bacterial large subunit ribosomal RNA", at positions 1809 to 2615 of the family's 2925-position model. Lineage: Eukaryota; Metazoa; Arthropoda; Arachnida; Araneae; Araneidae. The record is from RNAcentral.
AAAAACAUUUCUUACAUAAAUAUUUGUAAGUAGCACCUGCUCAAUGAAUAAUAUUUAAAUAGCCGCGGAAUAUUAACCGUGCUAAGGUAGCAUAAUCAUUAGCCUCUUAAUUAGAGGCUCGUAUGAAAGGUGUAACACUUCAUACUCUUUAUUAAAUAAUAUUAUUAAAGUUAAACUAAGAAUAAAAAUGUUCUUAUAAAAGAAAUAGACGAUAAGACCCUUUUGAACUUUACUUUAGUUUAGCUGGGGCAGCUAAAAAAUAAUUACCUUUUAUUUAUACUUUCCAUAAUUGACCCAAUAAACUUGAUUAAAUGAACAAUGUUACCAUAGGGAUAACAGCGUAAUAUAUUUUUAAAGUUCUUAUUUAAAAAAAAGCUUGCGACCUCGAUGUUGAAUUAGUGUAACUUACCGGUGCAAUAACUGAAAAAGUAGGUCUGUUCGACCUUUGAAACAUUACAUGAUCUGAGUUCAAA